This 460-nucleotide ribosomal RNA is filed under the name uncultured bacterium. Its description in RNAcentral is "bacterial SSU rRNA". It matches the Rfam family "Bacterial small subunit ribosomal RNA", at positions 30 to 504 of the family's 1533-position model. The record is from RNAcentral.
CGAACGCUGGCGGCGUGCUUAACACAUGCAAGUCGAACGAUGAACCAGGGCUUGCCCUGGGGAUUAGUGGCGAACGGGUGAGUAACACGUGGGCAACCUGCCCCUGACAUCGGGAUAACUCCGGGAAACCGGGGCUAAUACCGGAUAUGAGCUUCGAGGGCAUCUUCGAGGCUGGAAAGUUUUUCGGUCAGGGAUGGGCCCGCGGCCUAUCAGCUUGUUGGUGGGGUAACGGCCCACCAAGGCGACGACGGGUAGCCGGCCUGAGAGGGCGACCGGCCACACUGGGACUGAGACACGGCCCAGACUCCUACGGGAGGCAGCAGUGGGGAAUAUUGCGCAAUGGGCGAAAGCCUGACGCAGCGACGCCGCGUGAGGGACGACGGCCUUCGGGUUGUAAACCUCUUUCAGCAGGGACGAAGCGAAAGUGACGGUACCUGCAGAAGAAGCACCGGCCAACUAC